AUUGAACGCUGGCGGCAGGCUUAACACAUGCAAGUCGAGCGGUUUUCUUUUUCUGGCACUAUCACUUAUCUUCGGUCUUGGUAGUAAUGCUAGGAAUCUGCCUAUUAGUGGGGGACAACAUUGCGAAAGGGAUGCUAAUACCGCAUACUUGCUACGGGAGAAAGCAGGGGAUCACUUGUGACCUUGCGCUAAUAGAUGAGCCUAAGUCGGAUUAGCUAGUUGGUGGGGUAAAGGCCUACCAAGGCGACGAUCUGUAGCGGGACUGAGAGGACGAUCCGCCACACUGGGACUGGGACACGGCCCAGACUCCUACGGGAGGCAGCAGUGGGGAAUAUUGGACAAUGGGGGGAACCCUGAUCCAGCCAUGCCGCGUGUGUGAAGAAGGCCUUAUGGUUGUAAAGCACUUUAAGCGAGGAGGAGGCUCUUUUGGUUAAUACCCAGAAUGAGUGGACGUUACUCGCAGAAUAAGCACCGGCUAACUCUGUGCCAGCCGCCGCCGUAA
RNAcentral lists this ribosomal RNA (502 nucleotides) under uncultured bacterium. RNAcentral's name for it is "partial 16S ribosomal RNA". It matches the Rfam family "Bacterial small subunit ribosomal RNA", at positions 30 to 523 of the family's 1533-position model. The record is from RNAcentral.